GACGAACGCUGGCGGCGUGCUUAACACAUGCAAGUCGAACGAGAAGAGAUGAGAAGCUUGCUUCUUAUUGAUUCGAGUGGCAAACGGGUGAGUAACGCGUAAGCAACCUGCCCUUCAGAUGGGGACAACAGCUGGAAACGGCUGCUAAUACCGCAUAAGCCCACGACCCGGCAUCGGGUUGAGGGAAAAGGAGCAAUCCGCUUUGAGAUGGCCUCGCGUCCGAUUAGCUGGUUGGUGAGGUAACGGCCCACCAAGGCAACGAUCGGUAGCCGGACUGAGAGGGUGAACGGCCACAUUGGGACUGAGACACGGCCCAG
Molecule: ribosomal RNA, 317 nt
Filed under: uncultured bacterium
Lineage: Bacteria
Description: bacterial SSU rRNA
Rfam family: Bacterial small subunit ribosomal RNA
Source: RNAcentral